RNAcentral lists this ribosomal RNA (732 nucleotides) under uncultured bacterium. RNAcentral's name for it is "bacterial SSU rRNA". It matches the Rfam family "Bacterial small subunit ribosomal RNA", at positions 59 to 802 of the family's 1533-position model. The record is from RNAcentral.
CAGUCGAACGGACUUACAUUGAAGCCUAGCGAUAUGUAAGUUAGUGGCGGACGGGUGAGUAACGCGUGGGUAACCUGCCUUGUACUGGGGGACAACAGUUGGAAACGACUGCUAAUACCGCAUAAGCGCACAGCUUCGCAUGAAGCAGUGUGAAAAACUCCGGUGGUACAAGAUGGACCCGCGUCUGAUUAGCUGGUUGGUGAGGUAACGGCCCACCAAGGCGACGAUCAGUAGCCGGCCUGAGAGGGUGAACGGCCACAUUGGGACUGAGACACGGCCCAAACUCCUACGGGAGGCAGCAGUGGGGAAUAUUGCACAAUGGGGGAAACCCUGAUGCAGCAACGCCGCGUGAGUGAAGAAGUAUUUCGGUAUGUAAAGCUCUAUCAGCAGGAAAGAAAAUGACGGUACCUGACUAAGAAGCCCCGGCUAACUACGUGCCAGCAGCCGCGGUAAUACGUAGGGGGCAAGCGUUAUCCGGAUUUACUGGGUGUAAAGGGAGCGUAGACGGUUUUGCAAGUCUGAAGUGAAAGCCCGGGGCUUAACCCCGGGACUGCUUUGGAAACUGUAGGACUAGAGUGCAGGAGAGGUAAGUGGAAUUCCUAGUGUAGCGGUGAAAUGCGUAGAUAUUAGGAGGAACACCAGUGGCGAAGGCGGCUUACUGGACUGUAACUGACGUUGAGGCUCGAAAGCGUGGGGAGCAAACAGGAUUAGAUACCCUGGUAGUCCACGCCG